UUGGGAUCUCUGCGGAAGGGGUC
This 23-nucleotide non-coding RNA is filed under the name Cricetulus griseus (Chinese hamster). The record is from RNAcentral. Lineage: Eukaryota; Metazoa; Chordata; Mammalia; Rodentia; Cricetidae.